Molecule: unclassified non-coding RNA, 286 nt
Filed under: Ascomycota sp.
Lineage: Eukaryota; Fungi; Ascomycota
Description: partial contains small subunit ribosomal RNA, internal transcribed spacer 1, and 5.8S ribosomal RNA
Rfam family: Eukaryotic small subunit ribosomal RNA (bases 1-47)
Source: RNAcentral
AAAGUCGUAACAAGGUUUCCGUAGGUGAACCUGCGGAAGGAUCAUUAAUAGAGCGGUCGCGAGCCCCCGAGGAUUUCCUCGGAAGGCGAACGAACUCUCCACCCCUUGAUUUAUUGUACCUACUGUUGCUUUGGCGGGUCGCGGUCCCUCCGGGGACCCCGUUGGCUCCGGCCGGCGAGCGCCCGCCGACGGCCACAUCAAAAACUCUUGAAGUAAAACCUUGAAGUCUGAAAAUAAAAACUAUGAAAAUAGCCUAAAACUUUCAACAACGGAUCUCUUGGUUCUG